Long non-coding RNA from Mesocricetus auratus (golden hamster), 447 nucleotides. RefSeq lists it as uncharacterized. The record is from RefSeq and is a predicted model, not a curated record. The transcript has 2 exons. Lineage: Eukaryota; Metazoa; Chordata; Mammalia; Rodentia; Cricetidae.
UGUUUAAGAAGGCGUUACUGCAUACCUGUUACUCUUUUUCAGACUCACUCCCUAAGGUGUCUGGAGAUGAACCGUAUGCCUCAUGUGGAGCACUCUUCACCGCAGGACUUAUCAAGUUUCCAAGACAGACAGACAGACACAGAGACACACACACCCUUUUCAAGAAUUGCAAUGUGAGAAGUGUCAAGUUCCAACCUUUGGAUGGUUAUUCACUGGCUCUGUGGGUUUGAUAAUUUAAUAAUCGCAUGCAUUUACUUAGUUUUGAAUUCAAGGACACAGCAAAUUCUUGCCUUCAGGACUGGAAGCCCAGCCUCUCUGCUUCCACCAAGUGGUGGUAAGUUAUAUUUCAAUGACAUUGUAUUAGAACACCUAGCAGUUAACAUCAAUCUUGUAUGUAUUGGAGGUUCAUUUCAUUCACUGUGCUAACACGCCAUGUGUCAGGAACUA